Molecule: ribosomal RNA, 253 nt
Filed under: uncultured bacterium
Lineage: Bacteria
Description: partial 16S ribosomal RNA
Rfam family: Bacterial small subunit ribosomal RNA
Source: RNAcentral
UACGUAGGGGGCAAGCGUUGUCCGGAAUCAUUGGGCGUAAAGAGCGUGUAGGCGGUUCGGUAAGUCCGCUGUGAAGGUCCAGGGCUCAACCCUGGAAAGCCGGUGGAAACUGUCGAGCUAGAGUCCGGAAGAGGCGAGUGGAAUUCCUGGUGUAGCGGUGAAAUGCGCAGAUAUCAGGAGGAACACCAAUGGCGAAGGCAGCUCGCUGGGACGGUACUGACGCUGAGACGCGAAAGCGUGGGGAGCAAACAGG